GGCUAGGGAAGCCUUGGUGCUUCCUGCCGCAGUCCUGGGCACUGAGCCCCAGCUGCUGUUGGCCUGGAGCCCCAUCUAUCCCGGAUUUGGCCCCACCCUCCAGGAGCAGGGAGCCAGCUCUGCAUCAGGAGAGGCGGGCAAGGCCUGGGGAGGACCAGCUCAGGCCCUGUCUACAGGGCACUAGUGGGGGACCCAAGCCUCUGAGAGUAGAGGCUGCUGGGGCUGCAGCUGGGCCUGGGGAGUUCCAGAUGGAGUUCCCGUCCUCACCCUGCUUAAGGGCUCCGCUGGCCACCUACAUGCCUCGGAGGAGAAGGGACAGAGGGCUGCCACAGCAGGGCUCUGGAGCUGUGGAUCAGGCCUGGGUGGGGAACUGCCAGGCAGAAGAGGCUCCUCCCCUAAAGCAGAAGGAGCAGGCCAGCAACUCCAGGCGGAGCAAAGGUAGGCAAAGAGUCUGGGUUAAGAGCCGGGCUCUGGCAUCCAGCUGCCACACUUCCCAUCUGAUCCACCACUCUGUUGUAGAAUUUAGGCUCGUCACUACGUCCCUUCAUGUCCCUCAAGAAAAGGGAGAUAACUAACUGUAGCUUCUACCUCAUAGUGUUGUUGGGAGGACUAAAGGAAUAAAUAAAUACAUGUGAAGUGCUUAGGACACACAUCUUAAAGCCUGAAAAUGGAAGCUGGUUUUAUUAUUGCUAUUAUUAUUAACCUCCAGAGUGAUAAUGUCAGCCCCAAGAGCAGUGAGAGUCUGGGCUUCUUUUGGACUGUGCCCCUGGUUGCUGAAAGUAGUGCUUGGACCCAAGGCGGAAGAAGCCAAGUCCUCCCUGGCCUCAUCCUCCCCUGGUGGACCGGGACUCUGGGCAGAUGGUGCAGUACAUGCUGUAGAAGUAUUUGCCAGUAUUCUCAUCGCUCCUCCUCCUCCUGCCUCCCUUGGCUGCUCUGAUGAAGGCUGGAAGAGAAACAACUAUUGCAUGUGUUCAGGGGUUUGCAGGGAAG
This 990-nucleotide long non-coding RNA is filed under the name Homo sapiens (human). RNAcentral describes it as "HSALNT0188713". Lineage: Eukaryota; Metazoa; Chordata; Mammalia; Primates; Hominidae. The record is from RNAcentral.